RNAcentral lists this ribosomal RNA (1369 nucleotides) under uncultured bacterium. Its description in RNAcentral is "bacterial SSU rRNA". It matches the Rfam family "Bacterial small subunit ribosomal RNA". The record is from RNAcentral.
AGAGUUUGAUCCUGGCUCAGGACGAACGCUGGCGGCGCGCCUAACACAUGCAAGUCGAACGAGAGAUGAGGAGCUUGCUCUUCAAAUCGAGUGGCGAACGGGUGAGUAACGCGUGAGGAACCUGCCUCAAAGAGGGGGACAGCAGUUGGAAACGACUGCUAAUACCGCAUAAGCCCACGGCUCGGCAUCGAGCAGAGGGAAAAGGAGCAAUCCGCUUUGAGAUGGCCUCGCGUCCGAUUAGCUAGUUGGUGAGGUAACGGCCCACCAAGGCGACGAUCGGUAGCCGGACUGAGAGGUUGAACGGCCACAUUGGGACUGAGACACGGCCCAGACUCCUACGGGAGGCAGCAGUGGGGAAUAUUGCACAAUGGGGGAAACCCUGAUGCAGCGACGCCGCGUGGAGGAAGAAGGUCUUCGGAUUGUAAACUCCUGUUGUUGGGGAAGAUAAUGACGGUACCCAACAAGGAAGUGACGGCUAACUACGUGCCAGCAGCCGCGGUAAAACGUAGGUCACAAGCGUUGUCCGGAAUUACUGGGUGUAAAGGGAGCGCAGGCGGGAAGACAAGUUGGAAGUGAAAUCUAUGGGCUCAACCCAUAAACUGCUUUCAAAACUGUUUUUCUUGAGUAGUGCAGAGGUAGGCGGAAUUCCCGGUGUAGCGGUGGAAUGCGUAGAUAUCGGGAGGAACACCAGUGGCGAAGGCGGCCUACUGGGCACCAACUGACGCUGAGGCUCGAAAGUGUGGGUAGCAAACAGGAUUAGAUACCCUGGUAGUCCACACCGUAAACGAUGAUUACUAGGUGUUGGAGGAUUGACCCCUUCAGUGCCGCAGUUAACACAAUAAGUAAUCCACCUGGGGAGUACGACCGCAAGGUUGAAACUCAAAGGAAUUGACGGGGGCCCGCACAAGCAGUGGAGUAUGUGGUUUAAUUCGACGCAACGCGAAGAACCUUACCAAGUCUUGACAUCCCUUGACGAUGCUGGAAACAGUAUUUCUCUUCGGAGCAAGGAGACAGGUGGUGCAUGGUUGUCGUCAGCUCGUGUCGUGAGAUGUUGGGUUAAGUCCCGCAACGAGCGCAACCCUUAUGGUCAGUUACUACGCAAGAGGACUCUGGCCAGACUGCCGUUGACAAAACGGAGGAAGGUGGGGAUGACGUCAAAUCAUCAUGCCCUUUAUGACUUGGGCUACACACGUACUACAAUGGCGUUAAACAAAGAGAAGCAAGACCGCGAGGUGGAGCAAAACUCAGAAACAACGUCCAGUUCGGACUGCAGGCUGCAACUCGCCUGCACGAAGUCGGAAUUGCUAGUAAUCGUGGAUCAGCAUGCCACGGUGAAUACGUUCCCGGGCCUUGUACACACCGCCCGUCA